UGGUUCUGGCAUCGAUGAAGAACGCAGCAAAAUGCGAUAAGUAAUGCGAAUUGCAGAAUUUCCGUGAGUCAUCGAAUCUUUGAACGCACAUUGCGCCCUUUGGUAUUCCGAAGGGCAUGCCUGUUCGAGCGUCAUUAUCAAUCUUCAAACUCUUAUGUUUGUAGUUGGGUCAUGUUCCAGUAAUGGAACAGACCCCAAAGACAAUGAUGGUAUCCUUGUGGAUGUGAUACAAUGAGCUUUUUAAGCACGUAUCAACAAAAGCGAGGACACUGUCGAUAACCAACACUUUUUUCAAUGGUUGACCUCGGAUCAGGUAGGAAUACCCGCUGA
Molecule: unclassified non-coding RNA, 330 nt
Filed under: uncultured fungus
Lineage: Eukaryota; Fungi
Description: partial contains 5.8S ribosomal RNA and internal transcribed spacer 2
Rfam family: 5.8S ribosomal RNA (bases 1-134)
Source: RNAcentral